GACGAACGCUGGCGGCGUGCCUAAUACAUGCAAGUGGGACGCAAGGAAACACACUGUGCUUGCACACCGUGCUUUCUUGAGUCGCGAACGGGUGAGUAACGCGUAGGUAACCUGCCUAUUAGCGGGGGAUAACUAUUGGAAACGAUAGCUAAUACCGCAUAAUAUUAAUUAUUGCAUGAUAAUUGAUUGAAAGAUGCAAGCGCAUCACUAGUAGAUGGACCUGCGUUGUAUUAGCUAGUUGGUAAGGUAAGAGCUUACCAAGGCGACGAUACAUAGCCGACCUGAGAGGGUGAUCGGCCACACUGGGACUGAGACACGGCCCAGACUCCUACGGGAGGCAGCAGUAGGGAAUCUUCGGCAAUGGACGAAAGUCUGACCGAGCAACGCCGCGUGAGUGAAGAAGGUUUUCGGAUCGUAAAGCUCUGUUGUAAGUCAAGAACGUGUGUGAGAGUGGAA
RNAcentral lists this ribosomal RNA (456 nucleotides) under Streptococcus mutans. RNAcentral describes it as "bacterial SSU rRNA". It matches the Rfam family "Bacterial small subunit ribosomal RNA", at positions 28 to 466 of the family's 1533-position model. The record is from RNAcentral. Lineage: Bacteria; Bacillati; Bacillota; Bacilli; Lactobacillales; Streptococcaceae.